AUUGAACGCUGGCGGCGUGCCUAACACAUGCAAGUCGAGCGGUAACAGGUGUAGCAAUACAUGCUGACGAGCGGCGGACGGGUGAGUAACGCUUGGGAAUCUGCCUAUCAGUGGGGGACAACCCGGGGAAACUCGGGCUAAUACCGCAUACGAUCUACGGAUGAAAGCCGGGGACCGCAAGGCCUGGCGCCGAUAGAUGA
This 200-nucleotide ribosomal RNA is filed under the name uncultured bacterium. Its description in RNAcentral is "partial 16S ribosomal RNA". It matches the Rfam family "Bacterial small subunit ribosomal RNA", at positions 30 to 228 of the family's 1533-position model. The record is from RNAcentral.